Molecule: ribosomal RNA, 503 nt
Filed under: uncultured bacterium
Lineage: Bacteria
Description: partial 16S ribosomal RNA
Rfam family: Bacterial small subunit ribosomal RNA
Source: RNAcentral
AUUGAACGCUGGCGGCAGGCUUAACACAUGCAAGUCGAGCGGGGUGAUGGUGCUUGCACUAUCACUUAGCGGCGGACGGGUGAGUAAUGCUUAGGAAUCUGCCUAUUAGUGGGGGACAACAUCUCGAAAGGGAUGCUAAUACCGCAUACGUCCUACGGGAGAAAGCAGGGGAUCACUUGUGACCUUGCGCUAAUAGAUGAGCCUAAGUCGGAUUAGCUAGUUGGUGGGGUAAAGGCCUACCAAGGCGACGAUCUGUAGCGGGUCUGAGAGGAUGAUCCGCCACACUGGGACUGAGACACGGCCCAGACUCCUACGGGAGGCAGCAGUGGGGAAGAUUGGACAAGGGGGGGAACCCUGAUCCAGCCAUGCCGCGUGUGUGAAGAAGGCCUUAUGGUUGUAAAGCACUUUAAGCGAGGAGGAGGCUCUUUUGGUUAAUACCCAAGAUGAGUGGACGUUACUCGCAGAAUAAGCACCGGCUAACUCUGUGCCAGCCGCCGCGGUAA